AUUUAAGGAGGUUAUUGCUUGGAAAACUGCUCGAGCUCCCGGGCUGGCAUGCACUGCAGGUACAGUGAAAUCAAUUAUGCAGGUUCUUGAAGAAAGUCAUGGAUGACAACAAUGUAUGAAUUACCAGACCAAGGGAUACCAAUGUUUUUUUGACGGUAUACUUGCUCCAGCUACUCAGCUUACUGUGAGAGAGUUAACACCUUAUUGACAUAUCUUUCAUGAAGAAGAAACACUUGAGAAGAGUUCAAGAGUUAAAUUUUAUAGAUGCAUGUUAUCUUCAAAAUGAGGGACUUGUCAACUUUUACAAUUCCAAGGUCAGGAAAUAAUUCAUGAGCAGCAACAUGCUACUGGGAGAAAGGAAAACAAUAGAAGACUGCCUGCAUGAGAAUAAAAGUUCUGGACUCUGAAAAGGAAUAUAUAUGUGACAAAAUAUAUAUUUGGACAGUUGUUGAUUUCCACAAAAAUGCAUGUC
This is a long non-coding RNA of Saccostrea echinata, 472 nucleotides long. RefSeq lists it as uncharacterized. NCBI's taxonomy places the organism in Eukaryota, Metazoa, Mollusca, Bivalvia, Ostreida, Ostreidae. The transcript has 5 exons. The record is from RefSeq and is a predicted model, not a curated record.